GUCUCCGUAGCCAUAGUCGGUAGAGCACCCGACUAUGAUGCGGUAGAACUCGGGUUCGAGCCCCGCUGAAGGCA
This is a non-coding RNA of Henosepilachna vigintioctopunctata, 74 nucleotides long. The record is from the annotation of a GenBank genome assembly. NCBI's taxonomy places the organism in Eukaryota, Metazoa, Arthropoda, Insecta, Coleoptera, Coccinellidae.